GGUUGUAGUACACCAGCAAGAGAAGAAUAAAGGCAGUGACCACGCAGUGCCCCUCUCGCGCUAUAAAAGAAGGAGGACUGAGCACUGCGAAAUACACACACACACACACACACACACACACACACACACACACACAACACCAGACUCCAGAGCAUCGCAACAUCCAAGCACCACAGCCCUCACACUCCUUAGUAGUCGUAGUAGUAGUAGCUAGCUCCAGUUGUAUAAAGCCUUUGAGCCAUUGUAUAUCCCCGAGGUGAAGGUAGGCAGAAGAAAUGAAGAAAGGAUCGCUUCCUGGAGGAUAUGAAGCUUACAUAUUUGGAGAACAAAAUUAGUUCAAAAUAUUUGCACCAGGCACAUUCAACUUCAAGGCCAAAAGUCAUAUCAAUAUUAAUGACAUCCAGAGGUUCAUACUAGAUAAUUUCUGGUAUCAAUACACCAAUAAAAGAGAAGAAAAAGGGUACAUGCUGGUAAUUCUUAAUAGCCUAUUUGAAUACUUUAAUUUAUUAAACAAAGGCACCCCCAAAGCAGCACAAAAGGAAGUGCAAAAAUAAAAUAUGCUAUAUAUAAUAUUGGAUGGAAGUAAACAAAGAAUAUAUAUGAGCUUUCAAGAUGUUUUAAAAGAGAAAUUUGAUGCAAGGUGAAAGAAUGAAGACUUAUCAUGGAAAAGACAUGAUGAUUACAAUGAGGCCCUAAAAUGGGCAAGAAGCUUAAUAGGGCAAAAUUAUUAUAUAGACCCAAAAGCUAAAGAAUAUAUCUUAAGUCGGAGAGGCAUAUGUAGCAACAUGACCACUCCAUCUUUUCCUAAAUAUACAAAGGGAGAAGCAUCAAGCUCCCAGAAGGUUAAAGAAGAAGAUUCCACUAAAUAUGAGACACACAAAGAAUGCCUUGUCAAAGGAGUCGAUCCUUUAGAUGGUGAAUAUAUAGACUCAGAAAUAAAUGAAAAAUUUGAACAACUUGCAAAAUCAAUGAAGGAAGAACUGAAAUAAGAAAUUAUAGAAGAAUUAAGAUCAGAAGUGAAUGGAAAAUUUGAAGAACUAAAGAAAGAAUAUGAUAAAAAAAUAUGAUUUCAAUAUUUCUGAGAUACACCAUAUCAACAUUGCCGGACACGGGCAACCAAUUGAAUAAAAGAGGUAAAAUAAUAAUCAAAUAUAUUCAAAUAUGAAAUCAUAUGAAUAUCGAUUAUACGGGCGCGGAGGACCUAUACUAGAAUAUUGAUAGAAUUCAAAAUAUUGAUAAAGUAUUAUCAAUAAUAUGGGCUGGGCAGACCCAUACCCAAAGAAAAAAAUCGAAAAGAAUAAAAAUAAAUAAAUUAUAAUAACAAUAUAAAUGUAGCAAGAAUAGUUAUGCAGGAAGCAAGUACGCAACAUCCGUAUCAGGAAAGGUCAAGGAGAGGAGUUAAGCUAAAUUCCUCAAUCAAGACGACCCUUCAUCCAAGUUAAAAUAUUGGGUCAUGCAUGAAGACUACAAUAUUCAGCCAUGCAUGGAUGACUCAUACAAUGGUGCAUGCAAGACUUGGAAUUAAAUAUCAUGGCAAGAGUUGCAAUGAAGACAAGAGCUUUAGUCUAGACAAGAUCAUCUGUCAAGACAAGGUUUCCAGUCUGGACAAAAUCAUCUGUCAAGGCAAAGAUUUCAGUCUAGAAAAAAUCAUCUGUCAGGCUAAAUAUUUUAGUCUGGAGAAAAUCGUCUGUCCAGACAAAGCCUUCCUUGAAACAACUUCAGCGUCUUGCAUGUUCCCUUGUGUGAGCUGAUGAAACAAUCCCACAUUUUAUCUGCCUUGUAGUUUGCACACUCAAGCAUCUUUUUUUUGCAUAGCCAUGCAUUAUUCCGAUGAGUGACCGAGUUUAUGUCCAGAUAGACGAUUUUGUCCAGACUGAAA
Long non-coding RNA from Aegilops tauschii subsp. strangulata, 1879 nucleotides. RefSeq lists it as uncharacterized. Lineage: Eukaryota; Viridiplantae; Streptophyta; Magnoliopsida; Poales; Poaceae. The record is from RefSeq and is a predicted model, not a curated record.